Molecule: ribosomal RNA, 543 nt
Filed under: Candidatus Carsonella ruddii
Lineage: Bacteria; Pseudomonadati; Pseudomonadota; Gammaproteobacteria; Oceanospirillales; Halomonadaceae
Description: partial 16S ribosomal RNA
Rfam family: Bacterial small subunit ribosomal RNA
Source: RNAcentral
GUCGCGUGUGUGAAGAAGGCCUUAGGGUUGUAAAACACUUUCAAUAAAGAAAGAAGAAAUAAAAAAAUAAAAUUUUUUUAUUUUUGACGAUAUUUAUAAAAGAAGCACCGGCUAACUUCGUGCCAGCAGCCGCGGUAAUACGAGGGGUGCUAGCGUUAAUCAAAUUUACUGGGCGUAAAGGGUGUGUAGGUUGUUAAUUUAAAUUAAUUGUUAAAUUUAUUAAGAAAAACUUAAUAAAAUAAUUAAUACUAAUUUUCUAGAGUAUAAAAGAAGUAAAUAGAAUUCUAAAAGUAGCAGUGAAAUGCUUAGAUAUUUAGAAGAAUACUAAUGGCGAAGGCAUUUUUCUAUUUUAUACUGACACUGAUACACGAAAGCAUGGGGAGCAAACAGGAUUAGAUACCCUGGUAGUCCAUGCAGUAAACGUUGUCAACUAUUUAUUAAAUAACAUAUUAUAUAAAAAAAUUUUUAUGUUAAAAAUAUUUAUGUAAAUUUAGUGAAAAAGCUAACGCGUUAAGUUGACCGCCUGGGGAUUACGACCGCAAG